UUUGAGAGGAGUUGCGAUGACAAAAGGUUGCAGUAGCAUAUUGGGCAAAUAAGUUCAAAGGGGCGUAACUCCUGGAAAAAAAAUUGAAUCGUAUUUCCUGUCGAUAUGCACAUCUACUUAGUAUGUCCUUAUUAUCUGAAAAGGUUUCAUGAAAUUCUGUUGUGUGGUUUGAGAGGAGUUGCGAUGACAAAAGGUUGCAGUAGUAUAUUGGGCAAAUAAGUUCAAAGGGGCGUAACUCCUGGAAAAAAAAUUGAAUCGUAAUUUCCUGUCGAUAUGCACAUCUACAUAGUAUGUCCUUAUUAUCUGAAAAGGUUUCAUGAAAUUCUGUUGUGUGGUUUGAGAGGAGUUGCGAUGACAAAAGGUUGCAGUAGUACAUUGGGCAAAUAAGUUCAAAGGGGCGUAACUCCUGGAAAAAAAAUUGAAUCGUAAUUUCCUGUCGAUAUGCACAUCUACAUAGUAUGUCCUUAUUAUCUGAAAAGGUUUCAUGAAAUUCUGUUGUGUGGUUUGAGAGGAGUUGCGAUGACAAAAGGUUGCAGUAGUAUAUU
Molecule: long non-coding RNA, 545 nt
Organism: Mytilus californianus (California mussel)
Lineage: Eukaryota; Metazoa; Mollusca; Bivalvia; Mytilida; Mytilidae
Exons: 2
Source: RefSeq, a predicted model, not a curated record